Molecule: long non-coding RNA, 742 nt
Organism: Perca flavescens (yellow perch)
Lineage: Eukaryota; Metazoa; Chordata; Actinopteri; Perciformes; Percidae
Exons: 3
Source: RefSeq, a predicted model, not a curated record
UAGCUAGCUGAUUGCAGCUAGGCUUAUGUAACAAUGUAACUAAAAUUUAAAAACGGUAGUAUUUCUCUGAGUAUAGGGGUUAUAAAGUAGCAUACAAUGGAAAAUCUCAAGUAAAGUCCAAUUACCUUGAAUUUGUACUUUGAUAGUAACUUAGUUAUGUCGAAGAUUUUCUCUCUAUAUGGUUCAAUCUAUUAUUACGCUCUCCGUGCAUGUCCAACAGGGGGCGCUAGCUGCACGCAGAGACGUGAAGACACCAGAGAGACCGAGGGAAAAGAUGAGCUCAUCUAAAUUCAAGAUAGAUGCCAGUUAGCAAAAAUAAUUAUGAGUAAAAGUUGAUACAUUAGUUUAAGUUACAAAGCAAAGGAAGUUUAUAUGGGAUCCUGUGCUUCAUAUUGAGUUUAAUAUUUCGUCUAUUUUCGGUGAAGUUAUUUGGUGGUGACUGAUGUAUGCGCGUUGUUCUCUUCAUGGUCAAACUCUGUGAAAGAGAGACUUCAGUGGGCAGGAGGCCAGAGGAAUUCUGCUGCUGUUUGUGGAGGAGCCAUCCCAUCAUUUGGAUUCGGACGUGCUGCAGGCGUCACUUGGAUUUCAGUAGACACCACCAUGCUGUGAGGACACAUUACUGAUGGACAUGGUGAAGCUACUGCUGGUCUCUGUGAGAGUGAAGGACCCGUUUGACUUCGGAGAAGAUUUUGUUGAUAAAAUAUCCUCACAGAUUGAACCAUUCUCUUUGCAGAAAAACAUG